GAUGAAGAACGUAGCGAAAUGCGAUACUUGGUGUGAAUUGCAGAAUCCCGUGAACCAUCGAGUCUUUGAACGCAAGUUGCGCCCGAAGCCACUAGGCCGAGGGCACGCCUGCCUGGGCGUCACACGCCGUUGCCCCCCCAUCUACUCCUUCGGGAUUGCGGGGGGGCGGAUGAUGGCCUCCCGUGCGCCUAGCCGCGCGGUUGGCAUAAAUACCAAGUCCUCGGCGACGCACGCCACGACAAUCGGUGGUUGCGAAACCUCGGUUGCCCGUCGUGUGCGUUCGUCGCGCAUGGAGGGCUCAAAAAAAUGCUCGGCUCCGGCUGGGCUUUCAACGCGACCCCAGGUCAGGCGGGGUUACCCGCUGAAUUUAAGCAUAUCAAUAAGCGGAGGA
This 391-nucleotide unclassified non-coding RNA is filed under the name soil metagenome. RNAcentral describes it as "partial contains 5.8S ribosomal RNA, internal transcribed spacer 2, and large subunit ribosomal RNA". The stretch from base 1 to 122 matches the Rfam family "5.8S ribosomal RNA", at positions 35 to 154 of the family's 154-position model. The record is from RNAcentral.